AGUGAACGCUGGCGGUAGGCCUAACACAUGCAAGUCGAACGGCAGCACAGUAAGAGCUUGCUCUUACGGGUGGCGAGUGGCGGACGGGUGAGGAAUACAUCGGAAUCUACUUUUUCGUGGGGGAUAACGUAGGGAAACUUACGCUAAUACCGCAUACGACCUACGGGUGAAAGCAGGGGAUCUUCGGACCUUGCGCGAUUGAAUGAGCCGAUGUCGGAUUAGCUAGUUGGCGGGGUAAAGGCCCACCAAGGCGACGAUCCGUAGCUGGUCUGAGAGGAUGAUCAGCCACACUGGAACUGAGACACGGUCCAGACUCCUACGGGAGGCAGCAGUGGGGAAUAUUGGACAAUGGGCGCAAGCCUGAUCCAGCCAUACCGCGUGGGUGAAGAAGGCCUUCGGGUUGUAAAGCCCUUUUGUUGGGAAAGAAAAGAAGAAGGUUAAUACCCCGCUGUUCUGACGGUACCCAAAGAAUAAGCACCGGCUAACUUCGUG
Molecule: ribosomal RNA, 492 nt
Filed under: uncultured bacterium
Lineage: Bacteria
Description: partial 16S ribosomal RNA
Rfam family: Bacterial small subunit ribosomal RNA
Source: RNAcentral